This 253-nucleotide ribosomal RNA is filed under the name uncultured bacterium. RNAcentral describes it as "partial 16S ribosomal RNA". It matches the Rfam family "Bacterial small subunit ribosomal RNA", at positions 524 to 776 of the family's 1533-position model. The record is from RNAcentral.
UACGGGGGGGGCAAGCGUUGUUCGGAAUUACUGGGCGUAAAGGGCUCGUAGGUGGCCAACUAAGUCAGACGUGAAAUCCCUCGGCUUAACCGGGGAACUGCGUCUGAUACUGGAUGGCUUGAGUUCGGGAGAGGGAUGCGGAAUUCCAGGUGUAGCGGUGAAAUGCGUAGAUAUCUGGAGGAACACCGGUGGCGAAGGCGGCAUCCUGGACCGACACUGACACUGAGGCGCGACAGCGUGGGGAGCAAACAGG